Molecule: ribosomal RNA, 320 nt
Filed under: uncultured bacterium
Lineage: Bacteria
Description: bacterial SSU rRNA
Rfam family: Bacterial small subunit ribosomal RNA
Source: RNAcentral
AGCACGCCGCGUGAGUGAAGAGGUUUUCGGAUCGUAAAGCUCUGUUGUUGGAGAAGAACGUGUGUGACAGUGCUGGUCCUCCAGUGACGGUAUCUUACCAAAAAGGGACGGCUAAUUACUUCCCACCACCCGGGGUAUUACUUAGGUCCCGACCGUUGUCCGGAUUUAUUGGCCGUAAAACAACCCCAGGCGGUUUAUUAAUUCUGAGUUUAAAGGCUCGGCUUUACCCUGUGUUCGCUUUGGAAACUGUUAUUCUUGAGUGCAGAAGAGGAGAGUGGAACUCCAUGUGUAGCGGUGAAAUGCGUAUAUUUAUGGAAGAA